AAACGGGUAACAUCGUAAAAAUAUUUUUUCUCCGCCUUAUUGCUUUUCUCCCGAGCUUGCUCCACCGGAAAAAGAGGAGUGGCGAACGGGUGAGUAACACGUGGGUAACCUGCCCAUCAGAAGGGGAUAACACUUGGAAACAGGUGCUAAUACCGUAUAACAAUCGAAACCGCAUGGUUUUGAUUUGAAAGGCGCUUUCGGGUGUCGCUGAUGGAUGGACCCGCGGUGCAUUAGCUAGUUGGUGAGGUAACGGCUCACCAAGGCGACGAUGCAUAGCCGACCUGAGAGGGUGAUCGGCCACAUUGGGACUGAGACACGGCCCAAACUCCUACGGGAGGCAGCAGUAGGGAAUCUUCGGCAAUGGACGAAAGUCUGACCGAGCAACGCCGCGUGAGUGAAGAAGGUUUUCGGAUCGUAAAACUCUGUUGUUAGAGAAGAACAAGGAUGAGAGUAACUGUUCAUCCCUUGACGGUAUCUAACCAGAAAGCCACGGCUAACUACGUGCCAGCAGCCGCGGUAAUACGUAGGUGGCAAGCGUUGUCCGGAUUUAUUGGGCGUAAAGCGAGCGCAGGCGGUUUCUUAAGUCUGAUGUGAAAGCCCCCGGCUCAACCGGGGAGGGUCAUUGGAAACUGGGAGACUUGAGUGCAGAAGAGGAGAGUGGAAUUCCAUGUGUAGCGGUGAAAUGCGUAGAUAUAUGGAGGAACACCAGUGGCGAAGGCGGCUCUCUGGUCUGUAACUGACGCUGAGGCUCGAAAGCGUGGGGAGCAAACAGGAUUAGAUACCCUGGUAGUCCACGCCGUAAACGAUGAGUGCUAAGUGUUGGAGGGUUUCCGCCCUUCAGUGCUGCAGCUAACGCAUUAAGCACUCCGCCUGGGGAGUACGACCGCAAGGUUGAAACUCAAAGGAAUUGACGGGGGCCCGCACAAGCGGUGGAGCAUGUGGUUUAAUUCGAAGCAACGCGAAGAACCUUACCAGGUCUUGACAUCCUUUGACCACUCUAGAGAUAGAGCUUCCCCUUCGGGGGCAAAGUGACAGGUGGUGCAUGGUUGUCGUCAGCUCGUGUCGUGAGAUGUUGGGUUAAGUCCCGCAACGAGCGCAACCCUUAUUGUUAGUUGCCAUCAUUUAGUUGGGCACUCUAGCAAGACUGCCGGUGACAAACCGGAGGAAGGUGGGGAUGACGUCAAAUCAUCAUGCCCCUUAUGACCUGGGCUACACACGUGCUACAAUGGGAAGUACAACGAGUCGCAAAGUCGCGAGGCUAAGCUAAUCUCUUAAAGCUUCUCUCAGUUCGGAUUGUAGGCUGCAACUCGCCUACAUGAAGCCGGAAUCGCUAGUAAUCGCGGAUCAGCACGCCGCGGUGAAUACGUUCCCGGGCCUUGUACUAAACCGCCCGUCACCACCAACGGGAAAGGG
This 1413-nucleotide ribosomal RNA is filed under the name Enterococcus hirae. RNAcentral's name for it is "bacterial SSU rRNA". It matches the Rfam family "Bacterial small subunit ribosomal RNA", at positions 64 to 1416 of the family's 1533-position model. The record is from RNAcentral. Lineage: Bacteria; Bacillati; Bacillota; Bacilli; Lactobacillales; Enterococcaceae.